RNAcentral lists this long non-coding RNA (391 nucleotides) under Gossypium raimondii (Peruvian cotton). RNAcentral describes it as "long non-coding RNA (GRAI_LNC006837)". The record is from RNAcentral. Lineage: Eukaryota; Viridiplantae; Streptophyta; Magnoliopsida; Malvales; Malvaceae.
UUAAGGAUUUCGCCAAUGGUCAGUCUUUUUAUCAGAAGACUGGUAGAGCCUGGAAAAGAGGUUAUUUGCUAUACGGUCCUCCAGGGACAGGGAAAUCCAGUAUGAUUGCAGCCAUGGCUAAUUACUUAAGUUAUGAUAUCUAUGACCUUGAAUUAACUGAGGUUCAUAACAAUUCUGAGCUGAGGAAGCUGUUGAUGAAAACAAGUUCCAAGUCUAUUAUUGUGAUUGAAGAUAUUGAUUGUUCCAUUAAUUUGACUAACAGGAAGAAGAAUAACAACAACAAUACAAGCACAAGGAAUUACUAUGACCCUGAAAUGAGAUGUGGGUCAGUUCCAGGCCCUGGUGAAGAUGGUGGGAAUUCCAUUACCCUUUCGGGGCUAUUGAAUUUCAC